CUCCAGCGCACCCUAGGGACAAGUGGUCUGAGUCUCACUUGUUGCCUGGCACCGCCGCUGUAAUCCGGAUUGUGGUUCUAGGACGCCGCGGGACUUGGAAUCGGGCCGGUGUCGGUCGGGAGGCAAAAGGACUGGCGGUGCCCUAAAGUGAACUCCCGCCCCUUUGAUCAGUGCCAAGUCUUUCACGUGCACGAGAAAUGUUCUCCAAGCCUUGAAUGUACCUGGCCAAACCUAGCGCUCACGCCUUGCUUAGCUAGAGCUCUGCCUUCCCGUUGUCAGCCCCAGAGAAGGCGGAAGUUUUUUGUACGUUUGGUACCAUGUACCUUAUAGCCCCAGGGGUUCUUAGCAUGCUCUCUGCACUAUAAUCUACCCCCUGCGUGCAGUAUAUAGCGAAAACAAUCUUUUGUCAACUUUGUGAUCUCUCAUCCUCAGCUGUACCUGUGAUUCCUCUCCUGCAUGGGGAGUUUUCUAAGAAAUAUGAGGUUAAAACGCAUCCGGCAGCCAGUUCAGAUCUGAAGGGGUUCGAUGUUACUGCACGUCACAGCAAUUAAUGGACCUGCUCCAUCAGAUAAGUGCUUUAUAGUCUCUUAUCUACAACACGGAUAUUCAAAUCUGCGCGGGGAAACGUUGAAAUUUAACAAAAGGAUACACUUCUUUCCUCGGCGUAACGUGACAUUUGAAAAAUAACACAGAGGAAAACCGAAAUAAUAUUUCGGAUCAUUGUUGUCCA
Pelodiscus sinensis (Chinese soft-shelled turtle) is the source of this 730-nucleotide non-coding RNA. The record is from RefSeq and is a predicted model, not a curated record. NCBI's taxonomy places the organism in Eukaryota, Metazoa, Chordata, Testudines, Trionychidae.